This 867-nucleotide unclassified non-coding RNA is filed under the name Hevea brasiliensis (rubber tree). The record is from RNAcentral. Lineage: Eukaryota; Viridiplantae; Streptophyta; Magnoliopsida; Malpighiales; Euphorbiaceae.
AAACUCUCAGAAUCAGAUUGUAUUACACAAUCUAUCUUAUUUGCAAUAUAUAAUGUAGCAUUCUGUUCAUACAAAAUUACUAGGGACUUGUCAACUAUCCUUUGAUAAGUAGUAACAAAAGCAGCCUCUCAAAUGGCAAGUGCUUUUUCCAAAUCAAAAGUAAACCAUAUCUCAUUAACUCUGUUCUUGAACUCAAAUGGGGAGUUGUAUCCCGCCACUGUAUACAACGUUGUAUUGUCUGCAGCAUGGCUUUUGUCGAUGGCUGCUGCCCAAUUAGUGCCAGCAAUACUGGCACUCAGGGCAGCGGCUUCUCUUGGAAGGUCAUCAUCAGCUAUAAAUCCACUGAAUUGCCUGACCGCGACGUAAGUGUCCCCCCAUUUCUGGAGAUGAAGGCCUUUAGCUGGAGGAGGAUUUGGCUGGUUCUUCUUUGGUACAUAAAAACUCACAACAAAUGAAGAAGCACAAAAAGGUCCAUCACUUGGCUUCACUUGAAUGAUAACUGGAGCUGUCAUCUUUACUGUCUCAUGGUACUUAUUCUUCCCUUGAAUGUAAUCAAAUAGCCUGAGGAAACCAGUUCUGGUGGCGGAAACAUAUGAAAUAUCAUCAAUAGGAGCAGUAGACAUCCACAUAGGGGAAUCGUAACGACGAAUUUCAUAGUCUUUUCCAGAUUCAAUCAAAUCAUAAUUUGGGCAUUCAAUUCUUUGACAAGUUGGAGGAUAGAAAUUCAACUUUGUUGAGUAACCAUUGCAUAAUUUGGAAACAAGGAACAGAAACAAACACAGCCUCAUCAUCAACAGAUUCAUACUUACACUAAGCAUUUUUAUUACUUUUUGCUGUUUUAAUUUGUCUCAAUGAAAUUUUGGGAGU